AUUGAAACUCCAUUUCUCUGCCACAAAAAGCUCCCCCGCCCCAACUCCCCUGGGAUCAACAGCACAAUUCUAAACCCAAAAACAUAAAAAAAUGGCAGCAAGUGUAGCAACAAUGGCGAUGCUCAAUGCAAAAUGCCUAAGCAUCAGCUCAACUAAGAUGAGCAGCCCAACAAAGCCAACCCCAAAGCCCUUCUCCCUUCUCUCCAUGCAGAACCUCCCCAAAGGCCUCACCAUCUCAAAACCAGCCAACAACUCAAACCUACCGUCUUCACUCGCUGGCAGCGCCAUUGCUGGAGCUAUCUUCUCAACCUUGAGCUCAUGUGACCCCGCCUUAGCUGCACAACAGAUUGCUGAAAUAGCUGAAGGAGACAACCGUGGGCUAGCUCUAUUGCUUCCCAUAAUCCCAGCGAUCGCUUGGGUCCUCUUCAACAUCCUCCAGCCAGCACUUAACCAGCUGAACCGAAUGAGGAGCUCCAAAGGGGUUAUCAUAGGGCUAGGGCUCGGAGGAUUGGCUGCAUCAGGGUUCAUGUCAACACCGGAAGCAUCGGCCAGUGAGAUAGCUAUGGUAGCUGAUGCUGCAUCUAGUGACAAUAGGGGUACCCUUCUCCUCUUCGUUGUAGCACCAGCUCUUCUUUGGGUGGCCUACAACAUUCUGCAACCGGCUUUGAACCAGCUUAAUAGGAUGAGAUCUCAGUGAGAUUGUGGAUCUUGUAUGGGGUGUAAUGGCAUGUAAAUUACCUGUAAUUGCACCUUAUGUUAAUGAAGCUUUCUCGUUAUUUACUUUAAACAAAAAAUAACAAAUUUUCCUUGGUUAUAGUUCCAUUAAUUUCAUCCCUUAUAAUCUAUAUAUUCGUAUUAUUAUAUUUAUGUCAUUUUUUAAUAUAAUUGUAUUAUCGAAGUUAAUAUAAUUUUAAGCUUUUACAUAAAA
Molecule: long non-coding RNA, 928 nt
Filed under: Gossypium barbadense (sea-island cotton)
Lineage: Eukaryota; Viridiplantae; Streptophyta; Magnoliopsida; Malvales; Malvaceae
Description: long non-coding RNA (GBAR_LNC013684)
Source: RNAcentral